Long non-coding RNA from Microtus oregoni (creeping vole), 436 nucleotides. RefSeq lists it as uncharacterized. The transcript is spliced from 3 exons. The record is from RefSeq and is a predicted model, not a curated record. Lineage: Eukaryota; Metazoa; Chordata; Mammalia; Rodentia; Cricetidae.
UAAACGGGUUGGGGCUCUUGGGCUGAGGGCACCCGAGGGGGUUCUUUUGGUGGACGGGAAAGAGAUGUUAACUUCUCAACGGCUCUUCCUAAGCGAUAUCUGUGGAGCUCCAAGUCUGCGUGGUUAAAACCGAAAUAGUGCUGGCUUGAUCGGAAGAUCUGCCUGGAGAGGUCCUGAAUCUGCCCUGCACUCUAUUACACGGUUAACACAUAGCGCCUGAAUGACAACAUGGAAGGAGAAACCAUUAAGAACAACAGAAAAGGAUUCUUGAAAGAAACAGAAGUGGAAGCUAGAAAGCCUGGAGCAGACCUUCCCAGAAUGAAAACAAAAAUUCAAGAUGCUAAAGAUGAUGAAAAAAGUCUUAAAAGAAGAAAAGGAAGUGAAAUGCAAGUAGGAGUCAGGUGGGAGACUCCGCCUGUCUGCACCGAAGGUUUUG